AUGCGCCCUCUUCUGUGCCAUCUCCCGUGCACCUCUUGCGCGCUUUUCUAUGCGCCUCUUCUCCCUCUCCUGCGUCCUCUCCCGUGCGCUCCUCUGCGCGCUUUUCUGCGCCAUUUCCCGUGCACUUCUUGCGCGCUCCUCUGUGCGCCUUUUCCCCCUCUUCUGCGCCAUCUCCAGUGCUCUCCUCUGCACGCUUUUCUGCCUCUCCCAUGCGCCUCAUGCGCCCAAUUCUGCGCCAUCUCCAGUGCUCUCCUCUGCACGCUUUUCUGCGGCAUCUCCCGUGCGCCUCAUGCGCCCAAUUCUGCGCCCUCUCCUGUGCGCCUCUCCCUUGUGCUUUUUGCGCGUUCAUCUGCGCGCUCUUCGCUUUGCCUCUUGCGCUCCCUACAGCGCUGUCUCCCAUGCACCUCUUGCGCGCUCUUCUGGGCACUCCUUUGCCUCUUGUGCUCUUUUCUGUGCACUUCUAUGCGCCCUUUCCUGCGCCAUCUCCCGGGUAUUUCUUGUGCCGCCUUUUGCGCUCUCUGCUCUGCGCCUUUUGCGCUCUCUGCUCUGCGCCUUUUGCGCUCUCUGCUCUGCGCCUUUUGCGCUCUCUGCUCUGCGCCUUUUGCGCUCUCUGCUCUGCGCCUUUUGCGCUCUCUGCUCUGCGCCUUUUGCGCUCUCUGCUCUGCGCCUUUUGCGCUCUCUGCUCUGCGCCUUUUGCGCUCUCUGCUCUGCGCCUUUUGCGCUCUCUGCUCUGCGCCUUUCCCCUUCUGUGCCGUCUACCGUGCGCUCUUCUGCGCCAUCUUUCAUGCGCGUCUUGCGCCCUCGUCUGCGCCCUCUCUCUUAUGCUUCUUGCGCCCUAUUCGGUGCGCUUUUUGCGCGCUCUGCUGCGCCCUUUCUUAUGGUGUCUUUGAAUUGAGCGCCGGGGCUGGGUCCGGGAAGCAUCAGUGUGGACAGGUGGGUCAGCCUGUGAGCCCCCCCCGGGACAGGAUCCGAGAGUCGCCGCCAAGGGAGGGGCGAGGUGCUGGUAUCGUCGUGCGGCCCUCGACGGCUCUAGAAUGGAAGUCUCUCCAGGGCAGGAUUGUGCCGCCGUCAGCCAAUUGUCGGGGGACUCCUUUUGGGGGCUUCUCCCUUGCUGUACCCCAAGAGUCGAGUCUCUCCUUCCACCCCCAUGGGGCUCCAUUAUGGCUCCCUAAAAGCCUAGGUAUGAGUUGGGGCUCAGAGCCCUACCCGCGUGGAGUAGAUUGUACGCUUAAAAUGAGCAGGGAAUGCAUCUGUUAA
Molecule: long non-coding RNA, 1257 nt
Filed under: Ornithorhynchus anatinus (platypus)
Lineage: Eukaryota; Metazoa; Chordata; Mammalia; Monotremata; Ornithorhynchidae
Description: lncRNA (ENSOANG00000037765.1)
Source: RNAcentral